UUAUGACUCUGAAGCAAUGGAUGGAUGGCAGAAUGAGGAGCCAAAGCGCGUAACUGCUGCCGAUCAGCGCGGUGUCACGCCAGAGAGGGCAGGUCGGAUGUCCGCUGCCGUUCUGAGGAGACCGAGGCAUCUGUGUUGGCAGGCGGCGGGGAUGUCUCCAAGGCAACUGCCUUGGCUCCAUAUGCCGCUCGGAUCCGCAAAGUUAAUCACAGUUCCUGCAGAAACAAUGCUACUCUCCAAAAAGCCACGUGGAGUUUCUAGCACUUACCUCAAGCGUAAGCCAGAAGAAUGAGUAAGCACGUCUGAAAGACUUAAUAACUUUGUCCCUUCCUCCGUAUUCUUGCAUCUGAGUCAUGACAGCAAGCAGGAUACAGCAGAUAUUUAUGGGAGGCAUAAAGCAGGCACCUUCGGAGAGCGUAUGGUUUCUCUGCAGAUGUCGCUCUCUGGCAUUUCAAAUGC
This is a long non-coding RNA of Nothoprocta perdicaria, 459 nucleotides long. RefSeq lists it as uncharacterized. Lineage: Eukaryota; Metazoa; Chordata; Aves; Tinamiformes; Tinamidae. The record is from RefSeq and is a predicted model, not a curated record. The transcript is spliced from 2 exons.